GCCCUAUAGCCCUGUGGCUCUGUGGCUCUGUGGCUCUGGUCUGCUUCCUAUCUCUAAUGUGGCAAGACUAUACUGUGUGGAGGCUCCCCAUCACCCCUCUAAGUUUUCAUAAUCUUCUGUAAUGAGGAGAUGCCCACAGAUGAUAUUCCAAGUUAAGCAGUGAACUCAAUAUGAAUAGAUUUGAACCACUAGCCCAGCUCCUCCCAUGAAGAACUAACUCUAGGACAGACCGGAGUGGGACACGUAUGUGCUUCAUACACUUUCUGCUACCGUGCACCUGGGUGACCCAGAGCUGCAUGAGGUCAUGAUACCUGCACUCCCAGACAUUUUUAACGUCUGAAGAGGUAUGCUUCUGCACUGAGGAGGCAGACUCAGGAGAAUCUCUGAAUUUGAGGCCAGCUUGGUCCACACAAAGGUUCCAAGCUAACCAGAACCACAUGAUGAGAGCCUGUCUCAAAAAAAAAAAAAAAAA
Molecule: long non-coding RNA, 472 nt
Organism: Rattus rattus (black rat)
Lineage: Eukaryota; Metazoa; Chordata; Mammalia; Rodentia; Muridae
Exons: 2
Source: RefSeq, a predicted model, not a curated record